GACGAACGCUGGCGGCGUGCUUAACACAUGCAAGUCGAACGGUAAGGCCCUUCGGGGUACACGAGUGGCGAACGGGUGAGUAACACGUGGGUGAUCUGCCCUGCACUUUGGGAUAAGCCUGGGAAACUGGGUCUAAUACCGGAUAGGACCAUGCGCUGCACGGUGUGUGGUGGUAAGCUUUUGCGGUCUGGGAUGGGCCCGCGGCCUAUGAGCUUGUUGGUGGGGUAAUGGCCCACCAAGGCGACGACGGGUAGCCGGCCUGAGAGGGUGACCGGCCACGCUGUGACUAAGAUACGGCCCAGACUCCCACGGGGGUCGACAGUGUGGAAUAAUGCACUGUGGGCGCAAGCCUGAUGCAGCGACGCCGCGUGAGGGAUGACGGCCUUCCGGUUGUAAACCUCUUUCAGUAGCGACGAAGCACAAGUGACGGUACUUACAGAAGAAGGACCGGCCAACUACGUGCCUGACGCCGCAGUAA
This 478-nucleotide ribosomal RNA is filed under the name uncultured bacterium. RNAcentral describes it as "partial 16S ribosomal RNA". It matches the Rfam family "Bacterial small subunit ribosomal RNA", at positions 28 to 523 of the family's 1533-position model. The record is from RNAcentral.